ACGAACGCUGGCGGCGUGUCUAAGGCAUGCAAGUCGAGUGGGUUAGACCCACGGCAAACGGGAGCGUAACACAUUGGUAACUUACCUUGGGGUCGUGAAUAAUCCCGAGAAAUCGGGAAUAAUACACGAUGGAAGCGGGGGGACAAAAGUCAUUCCCGCUUAAAGAUUUAUCGCCCCAAGAAAGGCCUAUGCCCUAUCAGCUAGUUGGUGAGGUAAUAGCUCACCAAGGCUACGACGGGUACCGGGUGUGAGAGCAUGACCCGGCUCACUGGGACUGAGACACUGCCCAGACUCCUACGGGAGGCUGCAGUCAAGAAUAUUCCUCAAUGGCCGAAAGGCUGAAGGAGCGACGCCGCGUGCAGGAAGACGCCCCUCGGGGUGUAAACUGCUUUUAUAUGUCAAGAAAAUGACGGUAGCAUAUGAAUAAGCACCGGCUAACUCCGU
This 444-nucleotide ribosomal RNA is filed under the name uncultured bacterium. RNAcentral describes it as "bacterial SSU rRNA". It matches the Rfam family "Bacterial small subunit ribosomal RNA", at positions 29 to 506 of the family's 1533-position model. The record is from RNAcentral.